ACCAGACGAUGCGGUUACCGCGGCUGCUGGCACGGAGUUAGCCGGUGCUUCUUCUGUGAGUGAUGUCCUUCCUGCCGGCUAUUAACCCGCAGGCCUUCUUCCUCACUGAAAGUGCUUUACAACCCGAAGGCCUUCUUCACACACGCGGCAUGGCUGGAUCAGGGUUGCCCCCAUUGUCCAAUAUUCCCCACUGCUGCCUCCCGUAGGAGUCUGGGCCGUGUCUCAGUCCCAGUGUGGCUGAUCAUCCUCUCAGACCAGCUACGGAUCGUCGCCUUGGUGAGCCGUUACCUCACCAACCAGCUAAUCCGACAUAGGCUCAUCCGAUAGCGCGAGGCCCGAAGGUCCCCCGCUUUCCCCCGUAGGGCGUAUGCGGUAUUAGCCUGGGUUUCCCCAGGUUAUCCCCACUACCGGGCAGAUUCCUAUGCAUUACUCA
Molecule: ribosomal RNA, 433 nt
Filed under: uncultured bacterium
Lineage: Bacteria
Description: partial 16S ribosomal RNA
Source: RNAcentral